This is a microRNA precursor of Caenorhabditis briggsae, 75 nucleotides long. It matches the Rfam family "mir-239 microRNA precursor family". Lineage: Eukaryota; Metazoa; Nematoda; Chromadorea; Rhabditida; Rhabditidae. The record is from Rfam.
CGAUUUUUGUACUACAAUUAGGUACUGGACACCAGCAGCGAGUGUAUCCAGAAUCUAUACUAGUACAAAAAUAGC